UAUAAAUCUUUUUACAAAUUUACAGGUAUCGUGGGUGGUUCUCUUCAAACUAACUCUGGUGUAAUUAUCAUCACGGUCGUCAAUUUUGUACUUACAUACAUUCACAACAUACAUUAACGUUGUACUUUAAGUUUAAACCAUUUAUUGUAGUUGUGUUGCACUGUGUCUCUUAGAAAACGUGGUUUGGUAAUUUUUGCGACUCACUAUAAUUUUGUGUAUUUUUAAACUUUUUUUAUGCGAAUUACAACAUGCAAUGACAUGCAUAUAAUAUUAUAAUUAUCGGAUCUAAUUUUUGUUAUACGUGCUGAUAAGCGUUUAAAAAGAAGUCG
This is a non-coding RNA of Cinara cedri, 329 nucleotides long. NCBI's taxonomy places the organism in Eukaryota, Metazoa, Arthropoda, Insecta, Hemiptera, Aphididae. The record is from the annotation of a GenBank genome assembly.